ACUACUUCGGCAACAGCAUCCCCAUCAACCUCAUCGUCGCCGUCGCCGCCGAGGUCGUCCUCGUCGGCGGCGCCGAGUACUACCGGAUCAUCAACGGCCUGGUCAGUCAACUGCACAAUCUACACGCCCUACUCUUACACCUUUUGGUUUUCGGUAGCACGCUUUCCAAUUUAUUAAAUGCUAUAUCUCGUACGAAAACUUUGUAUAUGAAAAUUGCUUUAAAAUAUCCUUUUCCAAAUCUAAAAUAAUUAAAACUUAAUUAGUCUUACAUUUUUUUUGUUUCCGGUAGCACGCUUUCCAAUUUGUUGAAUGGUGUAUUUCGUACGAGAACUUUUUAUAUAAAAAUUUUAAAUCCUCUUUCAAACUUAAAGUAAUUAGAACUCAAUUAAUCAAACGCUAAUAGCUUUCUCAUUUGAAGUACCCUUAAUUUAUCUUCGAUGAACUCAAACACGGGACCUUAGUUAGUCUACACUUGUUGAUUUUGCUCGCUGAUACUCACCGGAGAUUCGCCGGCGAUGGCGAUGGUGGUGCAGGAUCUGGAGGACAAGCUCCACCCAGGUGGCCCAUUCGACCCGCUGGGGCUGGCGAGCGACCCGGACCAGGCGGCGCUGCUGAAGGUGAAGGAGAUCAAGAACGGGCGGCUGGCCAUGUUCUCCAUGCUGGGGUUCUUCAUCCAGGCCUACGUCACCGGCGAGGGCCCCGUCGAGAACCUCUCCAAGCACCUCAGCGACCCCUUCGGCAACAACCUGCUCACCGUCAUCUCCGGCGCCGCCGAGAGGACGCCCAGCCUGUAAACAUCUCGCCGCCGGCGACGCUGGCUGGCCUCAAGUUAAUUUUAAUCUUACCCGGGAAGAAGAAGGGAGGAGUUUGAGAAGGGUGGAAGAAUGUGUUAAAUGUACGUGUAAAUUAUCGUCGAGUUGGGAGAUGAAUUUGAAAACCUGUUCAUUCUGAUCUUCUGAUAGGAAGGACCAAGUGUUUGGAUUUGUGGCUGAGAAAUAUUUGCUACCUGAGUAAAUUGUCUCGAAGUGGUUUUCAUCAUCGUUGACAUUGCUGAAUGGUUUCCCUGGAUUUUUUUUUUGUUUCAAUUUUGACUAUUUGCUACUACCUGAGUAAAUUGUCUCUAAUAAUGGUUUCCAUGAAUUUUGACUAGUGAGUUAAGUCGCCAUUUUCUUGAGCAGUUUUCUGGAGGUCAGUCAGCUAUAGUGUCGAUGGCAACUUAAUUUUUUUAUAUAAUUUAACAAACAGUUAAACAGAAGAGAGGAAAACUGUGUUUUGCAUACACAACUGUGACACACAAAUCAACUCUCAAACAAGUAGACAAACACAGAAUUGCAGAUUAAGGUUGUAGAAGCUCAUAGGCCUAGGCAUGUCAACAAAUUAGAGGGACAUAAAGGUGUUGAAGGCAUCAGAUCAGAACCGAAAGAGAAGGCCAUCGCAGAUGGCGAGAGCCGAGAGCCAUCUGAGAGAGCGAUCCUGCAGACUGCAGUGACUUGGGCUACAGUAGCUCCCUUUAAGCUCAACUCACUCAAAUGGGCCAAGCAGUCCAAAAAUAUCUCAUUAAUUAGGC
Molecule: long non-coding RNA, 1567 nt
Filed under: Oryza sativa (Asian cultivated rice)
Lineage: Eukaryota; Viridiplantae; Streptophyta; Magnoliopsida; Poales; Poaceae
Description: long non-coding RNA (OSAT_LNC001958)
Source: RNAcentral